This 261-nucleotide ribosomal RNA is filed under the name uncultured archaeon. RNAcentral describes it as "partial 16S ribosomal RNA". It matches the Rfam family "Archaeal small subunit ribosomal RNA", at positions 748 to 1009 of the family's 1478-position model. The record is from RNAcentral.
UAGCCGUAAACGAUACUCGCUAGGUGUCGGCCACGGUGCGACCGUUGUCGGUGCCGUAGGGAAGCCGUGAAGCGAGCCACCUGGGAAGUACGGCCGCAAGGCUGAAACUUAAAGGAAUUGGCGGGGGAGCACAACAACGGGUGGAGCUUGUGGUUUAAUUGGAUUCAACGCCGGAAAUCUUACCGGGACCGACAGCAACAUGAAGGCCAAGCUGAAGACUUUGCCGGAUUAGCUGAGAGGAGGUGCAUGGCGUAGUCGUGU